This 1114-nucleotide long non-coding RNA is filed under the name Gallus gallus (chicken). The record is from RNAcentral. Lineage: Eukaryota; Metazoa; Chordata; Aves; Galliformes; Phasianidae.
CUCUUUCGCGUGAAGUAGGAUCCUUGAGCUGUUGCAGAGGCAGCCAACUGCUCCAUAUUUGGCUUCUAUUACACAUUUACAUACUGGAGAGCGGAGCGGCAGCGAGCGCUGUACCGCAGACAUCAUUUCUACUACAGCGCCGGAGCAGCCCGGAGCGUGUCCCCGCGGGGGAAGGAGCCCGCACGCACACACACACACACUCACACACCCGAAGACCCCCGCCCCGGGAGGACGGCGGUGCGCGAGUCUCAGUCCGACCCCCCCGCCAGCCCCACCUCCACUGACACUUUACAGUUCCCACCUCCUCAACUUUGGGAUCGACAGUCACGCCGCAGGCCGAGCCAGACGGGCGAGCAAUACAAGCUGUGAAUUUAUUGUUGACACCUGCAGGACAGUGACCACCUUCGCCGUCGUCUUCGCCAUACAGAGAUGCGCUGUCAGUGAGGUAAGAAAGCAAUGCCCUUUUCUUCUGUCUAACAAGCAUGUGCUGUCUGCCGCGGGGUCUGGUCAGCACGGGCACCUGAAUGGAGUCCGUGCCGUUAUCUACCUGCAAAACGUCUGUACUUCCCUUGCCUGGCAGUAAAGGUCCUGGAGAUACUCAUCAUAGAAAUGCCACGAGCUCUGGUGACUCAGUUGGGUGACUGACAGGACAGUGGGUUCCAGAUGAGUGGUUUUAUGUUCACCUCAGGUCGGAGUAUAUGCAGUUACUAAAAGAUUGUAGCACGAAUGGAAAAGUUUACAGUCUCUGAUCUUUUGCUGGUUAUUACCAUGGGUAUAAUUGUAUAAAUCCUCCCGUGCUUUUGUGAACAUUUUUAGCAGUUCUUGUUGCUUGCAGCUCGUUUGAGUUUUCGGUGUCCCCAUUUCCUCUCAAGCACUGAACUUUGCCUGGCGUGAGGAUACUUCCCAGGGUAACUGGCCACUAGUGAUGUGCCCGAGUGUCUUUUACUCCAGUUUCAGGAAUGUUUUCAGUUCUUCUGACAUUUUUCCCCCGAGUUCUGGAACCAGACAGGAUGGAGUAGCACGCUCAGCUCCUUCUCCUCUUCCUCACUUCUCCUUCUUGUUUGGCUGGGGGGAAUACCUUGAAAGAACCAAGUCUCAGGGCUCAACAAUCGUA